Molecule: non-coding RNA, 1039 nt
Organism: Cajanus cajan (pigeon pea)
Lineage: Eukaryota; Viridiplantae; Streptophyta; Magnoliopsida; Fabales; Fabaceae
Source: RefSeq, a predicted model, not a curated record
GGUUUUUGUGUAAAAUCGACUUAGAUGGAGACCCAAAAUUCGCACCCCGACUCUCAAUUCAUGCGCGCCGUUCAGUCUCUCAACCACAGCCCUCGUUCUCUCUCUCAGUUCUCGAAAGCUCUCUUCAUUCUCUCAUAUUUCAGUGAAGUCGAUUCCCGCGAGCACAGCCUUAACGACGGCAAGGAAAUACAUACCCAGUAACCCAGUUCCUGCUGGUUUUCGCGGUGUUGGCUCUCCAAGGUGCCUGCUACUAAAAUCAUAUCAUUUUUCUGUUUUAGGGAGUAAAAGAAGAGACAUGGGAAGCCUUUAUAGUUGAUGCACUUUUCCUUGCCAAGAUUUGUCUUUUUCUCCUAGCCUUUACAAUGGAUUGAUGCUUAGCCAUUUGGUAUAUUCUUGUAUUUUUAGAGUGAGGUUGCAGCUGGAAGUAUAAAUCUUAAUGGAACUCUUACAGUGGAAGUGCGGAGACCAGGUGGCGAGACUAUUAUGGGAGACAUUGUUCGUCUAGUUGAAGAGGCACAAAGUAGGGAAGCUCCUGUACAGCAGUUGGCUGACAAGCUAUUGAGCUAUUGCAGAUAUAUCUACUGCAUUGUCAAAGAACUUAGAAUGGAUUUACCCCAUGAGUUAUAAACAACAAGGACAUUAUGAAUGUGGAUACUAUGUCAUGAAUUGGAUGUCAAAAAUAAUUGAAGGGGGAGUAACAAAUGGUUGGAGUGAGCUUUUUGAAGAUGCUACACCAUUGGGGGAAACCAAAUUGGAAGACAUUCGGAUUCAUUGGGGAAAUUUGUUUUUAGAAAAAUUUAGAAAUAGAUCAUGUUGAAAGGUCUAGUAUUACAUGUAAAAUUUAGAAAUAGGUGAAUGUGGUUUCAGUAUUAGGCUGCCCAGUGCAUGUCUAAUGUAAUGUGACCUAAUUUUUUUGAUCUUCUCUUCUCCUUGUAAGAGAAAAACUCUUCUUUAUGGAUACUAGAUUAGCCUCUCUUGGUUUCCAAGUAUAUUGUUUCUUUAGUAUUAUAUAUAAUGAUAACGAUCCCAAAUUGGUCUC